CCUACGGGUGGCAGCAGUGAGGAAUAUUGGUCAAUGGACGAGAGUCUGAACCAGCCAAGUAGCGUGAAGGAUGACUGCCCUAUGGGUUGUAAACUUCUUUUAUAAAGGAAUAAAACGAGGCACGUGUGCCUUUUUGUAUGUACUUUAUGAAUAAGGAUCGGCUAACUCCGUGCCAGCAGCCGCGGUAAUACGGAGGAUCCGAGCGUUAUCCGGAUUUAUUGGGUUUAAAGGGAGCGUAGAUGGGUUGUUAAGUCAGUUGUGAAAGUUUGCGGCUCAACCGUAAAAUUGCAAUUGAUACUGGCAGUCUUGAGUACAGUUGAGGUAGGCGGAAUUCGUGGUGUAGCGGUGAAAUGCUUAGAUAUCACGAAGAACCCCGAUUGCGAAGGCAGCUUACUAAACUGUGACUGACAUUGAUGCUCGAAAGUGUGGGUAUCAAACAGGAUUAGAUACCCCAGUAUUC
This 460-nucleotide ribosomal RNA is filed under the name uncultured bacterium. RNAcentral describes it as "partial 16S ribosomal RNA". It matches the Rfam family "Bacterial small subunit ribosomal RNA", at positions 338 to 795 of the family's 1533-position model. The record is from RNAcentral.